CUCUUCCAUGUACGUUUCCACAAGUUUUGGGGUUCCCAGAAAAUUUCCUCUCUCUCCUUCCACAAAUUUGUACUUUCAGUUUUGUUGAUAGCGCAACGGAGAAACACUGAUUCCCAUAUGCUUGGUGCCUUGCAACCUGACGAGUGGCUGAGAGCUUCAUGUGUCCGAUUCCAGGUGAGUUUGCAAUGAACUCAACACAACCCUCCUCCUCCCUCCAUUGAUGCUGCGCUUGAUCAUUACUUAGUUUACAUGAUUACAUGUUUGUGUUGUGUGUGUUGGCAACGAAGAUUGAUCUCCUUUUUCUCUAAUUUCUUGAACUCUUAGAGAUUAUAGACUUCAAAGAUACACGCAACUUACAAUGUUUAUUCACUAGUAAAUAUAUUUUUAAAUUUCAUCUAACAGCUUGAAUUAUUGUGUUAAAUUGAUUAUUUGAUAUGAUAUCAGAGUUUUAAUGAUCAAACGAUCACAAAAAUCAUAUCUUGUGAUCUUACUUAACAUUUUAAAUUAUUGAAUUAAAUUAUUUCUUUUGACAUCCACGUCUUAAAGGUGUCUUUAUUAUUUCGCAAUUCUUUUCCCUUUCCAUGUUCAUCUCUUGCUUCAUGAAACAUGAACGAGUUUCUUGUCUAGAUACCUAGCUAGAGUAGAGAAUUAUUAAUAAUAUGCUCUGUGUGUUCCUGUUGUAUCAACUUCUCCAUUUUUCCAGUGCUGUGAAGAAUAAAUAUAGAGAAAAGAGAGGUAGAUAGAGGAUGGCGUAUAGAAAGCUAGCUAGCUACUACCUCCAUUGAAUUUCAUAGAUUAAUUUGUGGAGCUACGUUAAAGGCAACAAUAAAACAUGCAUCAUCGACCUAAACAGAGUCCACCCACGAGUCAAAUACACGCACUCACACACAUGCAUCAACCUCACAUGCGUAGUAAAAUCCAUCUACCUUUCAUAAUAUAUUGUGUUGCCGAAAACGACAGUACACUCCUAACCCUUUUUUGUAUCUUUCUUCUUGCUUUCUCUACACCAAAAAGCUACACCAUAUAAACCUUUGUCCUCGAGACUAUUUCCCAAUUGCAAAAAAAUCUGGAUUUUUCUUUUUUACUGAAAAAGUAAAGAUAUUUGAGUGUCUCCGACAUUGGUCAUGUUUGUUUUUGCGUUUUAAAAGUAUUUUUAAAAAAAAUUAAAAUUUUUUAUUUACUUUAAAUUAAUAAUUUUUGAUAUUUUUAGAUCAUUUUGAUGCGCUGAUUUUAAAAAUAUUUUUUAAAAAAUAAAAAAAAAUAUUUUUAUACAUUUAUAAAUGAAAAACACUUUGAAAAACAACCGCAACCACACUUUUAAACAGAUAUUAAAUAUCUUCAAUGGUAAUUUUUUUUAAAUUUCACCUUGGAUCUAUAUUGUAACAAGUUUCUUUGCCAAAAAAAAAAGUAAUUAAUUUGGUUUUUUUUAUUAGAUAACUUAACAAAAUUAUUCAAUAAGAUCUCUAAUUGUUUUAGUUAUGAUAAGAUAAAUGACUUACUAAAUUUUAUAGUAGAUUAAGUAUUUUUUUUAAUUAUUAAUAUAAAUAUUUGGAUGAAGUUACAUGCCGUUAACUUCUUUAUAAAGUUAUAAAUAAGGAAAUUAAAAGCAAAUUACAAAACAAAACAAGGUGAGAGUUGUGGUGGGAUCUCUGGCUACAGUAAUUGAUUUGCCCGUGCUCGUUCCACUACAGGAAUGGAUUCAAAGUGUCUAAUAGCGUUGUUGUGAUAAAGUUUUUCUUUUUCCUUAUCUUUUUUAUCACCCGAUUUUGAUUUGACAAAAAAAAAAUGCAAGAUGCUUUUUUAUUUUUUAAAUCUCCUUUUCUUCUUCUUAGAAUCUCUCUAAUAAUACAUGUUAACACACUAAACAUAUCACAGGAUACAUAAACCUUGUCGAAUUCAAUUUCUUUUUUACUAUCCAAGUGCGUAAAAAAAUGAAUAAAAUUUAAGAAAAAAUUCAAAAAAAGUUAUUACAAAGAACUUUAAACAAACAACGACUACUAACACAAAAAACUAUAAUUUCAGUACUUGAAAACAAGUAAAAAUAUUCUAAAUUAAUUUCUUCUAAUAAUUUUUUUUUUAAUCUAAAAACAACUAGGACAGACAUCACAAACAUAUCUAUAAUUGAUCUACUUUAUUUAAUUGAAAUUCAUAAAUAUUAAGAGAAAAAAAAAUAUAAAGUUCAAAAAUAGGGUACGUUGCUGAGCUUGGAUGGAUCAAUGCACCAGACCCAUUAAAAAAGCAGGCACUGGGGAUCCUAGCUAGGCAAGAAUGCUUGACCUUUUUUUUUUUUUCAUGGACUCAAGGGGCCUUCAAUUAUGAAAAAUAAUAAAAACAAACAAUGUAUCAUUUGUAUUUUCCAAAUCUAACCACCGCAAAGGUAGUUGGAAAAACAAGAAGUGAGUUUUUUAACAAAAAAAAAAAUUAAAAUUAUUCUAACCUGAGAACACCUAAAAAAACAACUUUAAGACUUUUAAAAACAAAUUUCUCAACCUCAAAAACCCGUAAUUUGGUCUAAAAAUAUAGAAUUAAACAACAAAAAAUUUUCUUAAUCAUGAUCUGUUGUUUCUAGUAGAAUAUAGAGUAAAAAAAUAUCUCGAUAGAACUCAUCUUGUUAAGAGAAAACUCAUAAAUACUAAAAACAAGUUGUUUUGUUGUCGGAAUAUAUACUAUCAAUAAUUUCUUUUAUCAUGUUUUGUGGCGAUAUUCUCUCAAGUCUUUUGUCAAACCAAGAGCUUAAACAUAAUUGAAUGAAGAUUUAGACCAAAACGUAUAAUUAUCAAACUAAAAGGAUCAAAAUAUAAUUUGAUAAAAAAUAAAGGCAUAACUCUUCAAAAAGGCUCUAAUUGCACAUUGGUGGAGAGGGAAAGGUAUGCAUGUUUUUAUUUUAAACUCAAUUCCAGUCGUUUAACUUUUAUUUUUUAAAAAAAUAAAAACAUUCGGUCAAAAACAUUUAUCUAGAUGAAUCAAUUAUUACACUUAUGUAAAGCAUCAAAACAUCACUGGAAAGUAAUUUUAUACUCGUUGAAAUGAUCAUGGAGGUCCUAAAGUUGAAUGUUCAUCGAAUAAAAUUCUAAUUAAUGGUUUGGAUUGAUAAAUAAAGAAGUUUGCUCUGUUUCUUAGCUCUUUAAAUUCAAGAUUUGAGAUCAAUAUAGAUUACUCUAUCGAAUGUAUAAUAUCAAUAUAAAUCUUUGCAGUCUACGGUGACAAAACAAUUUCUUCUAGUUAUUAGAUGUCAAGUUUUGCAGUGUUCGUGGGAUAAUCUAGGAGAUAAAAUUAUAUUGUAUCUGUGAUCAUGUCCUCAAUCAUAAGAACAACGAUCUUGGCCUAUAUGAUGGUGUUCUCUCUUUUAAAUCUUUCUAGGGCUAGGCUAGACAUGGUUUCUGUUUUUCUGGUUAUUUCUCCAUCCUAUAACUCCUGGUGAUUUCUUAAAAAACCAUAAAUCCUGAGGGAUUUCAUGCUUGAAUUGUUCCUGAACCUUCGUCUAAAGAGCUAACCCUAGAUGGUACGUGAAGGCAAGAUGCUAUUCAUAAAACAAUUAGUAUCAGGAAUUUCAGAUAGUGGUAAUGGUAUAUGGUUCUGGAAUACCCUCCACUAAGGCUAGUUUCCAUCUUAAAAGCUUUCUUUGUGUACACAUACAAGUUUCUAUAUGUACAUAUAGUGUGUAUGUGUGUAUACAGUUUCCAUCGUUUCCAUCUUAAAAGCAUCCUUUUUAUACAGAUACAAAUUUUUAUAUGUGUGUGUGUUAGUAGAAAUUUGUACAUAUAUGUGUCUAGUAAUACGAUUCAAAGUGUUUUUCAAAUCUAAAACGAUAUUAAAUUGAUGAUUUUAUGUGUUUUUAGAUGAUUUUGAUAUGUUAUUGUAAAAAAUCUUAAAAAAUAUUAAUUUGAUGUAUUUUUAAUUAAAAAAUACAUUGCACCGCGUUACCAAGCACAUGCUUAGAUAGUGUUUGUAGGUGUUGUAACAGUUACUUCUCAAAGUGUUUUUCAUUUUUCAGUAUAUCCAAACAAUUAAAAAAACAUCAAUAAAUAAUCAAUUUCAAGCAAUACGAAUUUAAAAAAUCACAAAACAUGAUUUCAACUAUAAAAACAAACACCCCACUUAUUAAUGAAUAGUGAAGGAAAGUCUAUGCAUGUACUACGGCUACAUAAUGCAGUACAUAUAAAACUAUAGAAUGGUAUUACAUCCUUUUUAUGAAAUUAGACAUGGAUAUUUCAGCUAAAUUUUAAGAAGGCGCAUGCACGCACCACGGCUACAAAAGUUAAAAUACGGUACUAUAAACAUUUAAAAUGGUAGUGUAGGACUACCAGUUAAUAAUUAGUAGUAUAUUUUCACACAGAAAUAUUUUCCUAUCAUGCUUAUUAAUCAUGUGAAAAUAGAUGUGAAUGUCUACUCCAAAUUCCUCUAACAUUGUUGAUGAAUCAUUUCCCAAGUCGAAAAGCUUCCUUUUGCUCUUUAUUUCCCCUUUAUUUAUGCCUUUUAAAGGCUAAAUAUCCAAAACUACCUUAAAUUUUAGGUCAAACCAAACUUAGUUUUUUAAAUUUAUUUUUUUAUUCGAGAACAUAAACUAUUUUUUUUUGUUAAAAAUAAGCCUUUUGUGUCCAAGUUUUCAUCCCUUCAUUAAUCCUUUUAUUUUUUAUUCUUAAAUCAUGUAUUUUCAUGACACAUUUUGUGUUUUUAGAUUAUCACAUGCACUCAAAAUUAAUAAAAAAAGGCUUAUUUUUUAUAUAAAAAAUAGUUUAAAGUAUUCAAAUAAUAAUAAAAAAAAGUUCGAGGGUUUUUAUUUUUUCAUUUAACCUCUUUUAAAUUGCCUCGAAACGUUGCGAAAGCUUCUUUUUCCAAUGCAAAGUGUUCUUUUACAUUUUAACCACAGAUUUAAACUAUGGUUUCUUAUAUCAGCUCCCUUUGUCUAUGUCUUUGUCGUCUAUUCUGAGCGCCAACAAAAACAUUAAUGUAAUUAUAGAUGUUCUUGUUUAUAUAUGUUGUAUUAGUAAAUACAUUUUCUCGUAUUAAUUACCUUUUCACUAACAUAUCGAUAUAAGAAUUAGCUGUCAUAAUUAGGAGUCUGAUCCACAGACUUUCCGAAUGAACUAAAGAGAAUAGGGUUUGUGUGUGUAAGAGAGGGAGAUUGAACCGCAUACAUUUCAUAAUUUGCAAGACGUAGAACACUAAUUUGACCUUGGCUAGUAUGGAACAAAGUUCAUAUACAGCAAUGCAUAGAGUACGCGAUACAUUUUACCUUAAACAAUCAUCACACGUAGAAUUUCGAGAAGCAAGAAUAUUGUUAUAAGCACACUGAAUUACUGGAACAACACAAUACAAUUACAUGAUACAUACCGUUAAUCACACCCGUUUGAUUUUCUUUAAGCACUUGUGGUGCAGGAUUGAGUUCAAACUGGAAGACGAUUUGAAGCCCCACCCACGCCCUUGUCACCUAAGGCUGCCAUUGGAGGCGAGACUUCAGCUUCCCAAACGUUU
Molecule: long non-coding RNA, 5475 nt
Filed under: Populus tremula
Lineage: Eukaryota; Viridiplantae; Streptophyta; Magnoliopsida; Malpighiales; Salicaceae
Description: long non-coding RNA (PTRE_LNC001667)
Source: RNAcentral